GGUCCCAUCGUCUAGCGGUCUAGGACGCCGGCCUCUCACGCCGGUAACACGGGUUCGAGUCCCGUUGGGACUACCA
RNAcentral lists this transfer RNA (76 nucleotides) under Deltaproteobacteria bacterium. Its description in RNAcentral is "tRNA-Glu". It matches the Rfam family "tRNA". Rfam says of the family: Transfer RNA (tRNA) molecules are approximately 80 nucleotides in length. Their secondary structure includes four short double-helical elements and three loops (D, anti-codon, and T loops). Lineage: Bacteria; Pseudomonadati; Myxococcota; Myxococcia. The record is from RNAcentral. RNAcentral also lists the same sequence under 5 other names.